AAAUUGAAGAGUUUGAUCAUGGCUCAGAUUGAACGCUGGCGGCAGGCCUAACACAUGCAAGUCGAACGGUAACAGGAAUCAGCUUGCUGAUUCGCUGACGAGUGGCGGACGGGU
Molecule: ribosomal RNA, 114 nt
Filed under: Escherichia coli
Lineage: Bacteria; Pseudomonadati; Pseudomonadota; Gammaproteobacteria; Enterobacterales; Enterobacteriaceae
Description: partial 16S ribosomal RNA
Rfam family: Bacterial small subunit ribosomal RNA
Source: RNAcentral